UAUUGAUCCAAGAAUAUUCCCUUGAAGUAUAGGUUUAGUGUUAUUUUUGAGUGAUUAGAAAACAUUGUUUCAGGUUUUCUGUCAGCCUGUUUUUAUUUUUAUGUAUUUAUUUGUUUAUUUAUAUAUUAUUUUUGACUAAAUCUGAAAAAAAAAAGAGCCUAAGACCAGCGCAACUAAAAUCCAUCACUUACGCAUGACUUUUAUCUUGAAAGCUCGUCCGUGUGUUGUACGCAGAAGUUGCACGUCUUCACUGUGCACUGCAGGGUCGUCCUUAGGGGGGUGCAACUGGUGCAGUUGCACCGGGCCCCGUGCUUGAGGGGGCCCCCCGGCGAACGGACAGAGGGGGGAAAGGAACGCGAUCACGAAUGGACUAAGCCUUCAGCGUGGGCGACUGCUCUGCGAGACACGGGAUGGGAGGUGCCAGAAGGUGUGAGAGACGGCGAGGAGGGCCAAGGUCAGGUCUAGGGGAGGUGCUGUGUUAAACGGUCAGGGGGUGGAGCUGUGUAAGUCAUAUUAAGAGGAAAUACUGCAUCACCUUCCUGCUGACACACGCAUCAGGGUCAUGACUCCUGGAUGUGUGUUGUGUAUUUCCCUUUAUCUGACCAUGUUUUUACCAUUUGUAUAAGUUUGACUACAAAUACCACGGGUAAACUAUGGUUAGUGCAACAAAAACUAUAUUAAUCAUGUUUUAUAUUUGUUUGUUUUAUUUAUAUUAAAACCAUGGUUAAUAUUUAAAGAUUGCAAUGCUGCACCUUCAUAUAAUAUACAUUUGCAUCUUUAAAUCAGAAUAUAGUAAAGUUCAUAGUCAAAUUUUACAUUAGCUUGAGAAAAAGCUAGUAUAUGAAGCUAUUUAAAAACUUGAGGUUUGAAGGGUUGAAGUUUGAAGUACGGUAGAUUUAAAGAGUUUUAAAAGAAACAGAUUCAGUUCAUCCGAGCCGAUUGGAAUAGUAGGAGAGUUGUUUAAGAUCUCAGUAUACAGUGCUGUAUAGCUGUGGGCCUGUUCUAACAUGUGAGGUAUGUAUCUGAAAGACAUGCAUUCACUGACUGUAGGCUACCCUGUUAACUAGACAAAACACUUCCUUUAGCCCUCUGAUUUUGACAAAUGAAGGAGGAGAAAGAAAAAGUGAGAAAGAAACAAUGGAUCAUAAUAUUUGUCCCAAUAGUUGAUUCAUCUCAUUCACAUGCAUUCCACAACCUUUUUCUGCUGUUGAUACUUACAGCACAUUCUCACACAUAACACAUGUUGUAUUCCUGUCAUAACUGUGAAAUAUUCAUUCAAACAAAACCUUGCAGUCAUUUGAAUUUACUGUCUUUAAAUCCAACUAAAGAGCUCAAAUGAGUCAAGAAUCAAACACUUGCGUGUUUUUACAGUUGAACUGGUUAAGAAUCAGCAUAAAAAAUGCUUCCUUCAACUACCACUCCCUCUAUUUUGGUCUGAAUUCUUUGUUAACAAAAGACAGUUGAUCCUUUGGCAUUAACAAUUUACUGUCUGUUAAAUCUGAGUGUAAAUCUGUGCAUAUGUUCACACCCAGCUGUAUCUUGUUUGUUCAAAUGUAAGAAGUCGGUCACAGAACAGAAAACUACAUAACUUCAGACAGAGAGAGUAGAAUGAGAUCAAAGAGAGGUAUGAAAGAGACCAAACAACGUGUCCAUUUCUAGUCAUUAGCAGAGCUUUAUUGGUAAACAUAUUAAAAUUCCAAAGAUACAAUCUCACACCACACAGUUUAGAUUAAGUAUUACUGCACAUUGGCAUUUCUGCUGAAGCUGCCUUCGUUAAGUCCACUGAAUUGCAUUGAAUGACCACUUGUUGUAUAUUUAUUUAUUUAUUUAUUUAUUUAUUUAUUUAUUUAUUUAUUUAUUUAUUUACUUAUUUUCUACUUUCAGAUAGCUAAUAUAAAAUUACUGAAAUAAAAAGAUAACAUAAGGAUACUUCAAUAACUGUUUUUUUUUAUAAGA
Molecule: long non-coding RNA, 1956 nt
Organism: Cyprinus carpio carpio
Lineage: Eukaryota; Metazoa; Chordata; Actinopteri; Cypriniformes; Cyprinidae
Source: Ensembl